This 380-nucleotide ribosomal RNA is filed under the name uncultured bacterium. RNAcentral describes it as "bacterial SSU rRNA". It matches the Rfam family "Bacterial small subunit ribosomal RNA", at positions 524 to 906 of the family's 1533-position model. The record is from RNAcentral.
UACGAAGGUGGCAAGCGUUGUUCGGAUUUACUGGGCGUACAGGGAGCGUAGGCGGUUCGGUAAGCCCUUUGUGAAAUCUCCAGGCUUAACCUGGAACAGUCGGAGGGGACUGCCGGGCUAGAGGACGGGAGAGGAGCGCGGAAUUCCCGGUGUAGCGGUGAAAUGCGUAGAGAUCGGGAGGAAGGCCGGUGGCGAAGGCGGCGCUCUGGAACGUUUCUGACGCUGAGGCUCGAAAGCGUGGGGAGCAAACAGGAUUAGAUACCCUGGUAGUCCACGCCUUAAACUAUGAAUACUAAGUGUCGGCGGGUUACCGCCGGUGCCGCAGCUAACGCAUUAAGUAUUCCGCCUGGGAAGUACGGCCGCAAGGUUGAAACUCAAAG